RNAcentral lists this unclassified non-coding RNA (234 nucleotides) under air metagenome. RNAcentral describes it as "partial contains small subunit ribosomal RNA, internal transcribed spacer 1, and 5.8S ribosomal RNA". The stretch from base 1 to 46 matches the Rfam family "Eukaryotic small subunit ribosomal RNA", at positions 1786 to 1831 of the family's 1831-position model. The record is from RNAcentral.
AAGUCGUAACAAGGUUUCCGUAGGUGAACCUGCGGAAGGAUCAUUAUCGAGUUCCUGCCCUAACGGGUAGAAACCCCACCCUUGUGUAUGUUAUGUUUGUUGCUUUGACAGGCCGCCCUCGGGCGCUGGCUUCGGCUAUGUUGUGCCUGUCAGAGAACCCCCAACUCUGAAUGUUAGUGUCGUCUGAGUACUAUAUAAUAGUUAAAACUUUCAACAACGGAUCUCUUGGUUCUG